Molecule: long non-coding RNA, 616 nt
Organism: Macadamia integrifolia
Lineage: Eukaryota; Viridiplantae; Streptophyta; Magnoliopsida; Proteales; Proteaceae
Exons: 4
Source: RefSeq, a predicted model, not a curated record
CGGGGGUGUUUCGUUUCAUUUUGAUAAAAAUUGGAACUAUCAUUCCCGAUAGUUCAUUGUCUAGUUCAAUUCGCGCAUAGAGAGAGGAGAGAAGAGGAGCUCGCCAUCUACGACCUGUAGCGAUAGCGAUCGAUUUUGGGGUUCCAUAUCUUCGACGUUCAACAUUUUCAGGAGGAAUUUCUUCGAAACCCUCAAAUAGAUCAUAUAGAGAGAGCUCGGUUCACUUCUUUGCCUAGUUCGUCGGCUUCUUCAUAGAGAAUCAGGAAAAACUUUUGAAGCCAGUGCUAAAGGAUUUCUAUAUCGACUUAAAUGAGCAUGCAAUGAUGGGUGGAAUAUAGGGGAGGUAUGGAGCGAUUCGGAGGAAUUGAAUCACACACUUUUUGAUAGCACUACGACAACAUGGCCUUGGAGCAUAGUCCUUCUUUCUCUAUGUUCAUAAUUUUGUAUCUAUACCAACCUACAUGCUCAGGCCUACAAACGAAGUAGUUCUACUCAUGCGACUUAUUGCUACUAAUAUCAUUACCAAACUCUCACACAUAGACAUCACUAAUCUGAACAUAUAUGUACUUAGCCAUAUAUAAUUAUUGAAUUUUCUUUUCUUUUGAUAAAAAAAAAA